Molecule: ribosomal RNA, 492 nt
Filed under: Aeromonas sp. 01WB04.4-101
Lineage: Bacteria; Pseudomonadati; Pseudomonadota; Gammaproteobacteria; Aeromonadales; Aeromonadaceae
Description: bacterial SSU rRNA
Rfam family: Bacterial small subunit ribosomal RNA
Source: RNAcentral
UGCUCAGAUUGAACGCUGGCGGCAGGCCUAACACAUGCAAGUCGAGCGGCAGCGGGAAAGUAGCUUGCUACUUUUGCCGGCGAGCGGCGGACGGGUGAGUAAUGCCUGGGGAUCUGCCCAGUCGAGGGGGAUAACAGUUGGAAACGACUGCUAAUACCGCAUACGCCCUACGGGGGAAAGGAGGGGACCUUCGGGCCUUUCGCGAUUGGAUGAACCCAGGUGGGAUUAGCUAGUUGGUGAGGUAAUGGCUCACCAAGGCGACGAUCCCUAGCUGGUCUGAGAGGAUGAUCAGCCACACUGGAACUGAGACACGGUCCAGACUCCUACGGGAGGCAGCAGUGGGGAAUAUUGCACAAUGGGGGAAACCCUGAUGCAGCCAUGCCGCGUGUGUGAAGAAGGCCUUCGGGUUGUAAAGCACUUUCAGCGAGGAGGAAAGGUUGGCAGCUAAUAUCUGUCAACUGUGACGUUACUCGCAGAAGAAGCACCGGCUAA